This 423-nucleotide long non-coding RNA is filed under the name Saimiri boliviensis boliviensis (Bolivian squirrel monkey). Its description in RNAcentral is "lncRNA (ENSSBOG00000036749.1)". Lineage: Eukaryota; Metazoa; Chordata; Mammalia; Primates; Cebidae. The record is from RNAcentral.
GCCAAGGCAGUGGAGGCUUGUUUACUGUCACCAUGGGAACCUCUAAAGGUUCUUUAAGGGGGUGGGGCCAAUAGCUGGGGCCGAGUCAGAACAACAGGGGCAGCAGCAAGUCUCUGAUCCCUCCCCACACAGUGAUUUUGAGAAGCCUUUCUACUUGGCUCCUCAGACCCAGCUCACCACUCUGUCCCGGAAAUGUGCCUCAAUUAAUUUCUCCCAAGAAGGUGGGACCUCUGGCUCAACUGAACAGAUAGAGAACAUGGGAGAUACUGGAAAGUAUUUUGGACGAUGUGGGAAUAGCUGUCAGUCAGCUCUUCCUAAGAUCCAACACAGUAUGACAGAUGCAACAGCAAAACAGUGAGAGGCCCUCACCUGAUUAAAAUGGAGCAAAGAAUGAAGGAUGGCCUGGGUGACAAUCCUGAUGGA